This 993-nucleotide ribosomal RNA is filed under the name uncultured bacterium. RNAcentral describes it as "bacterial SSU rRNA". It matches the Rfam family "Bacterial small subunit ribosomal RNA", at positions 504 to 1502 of the family's 1533-position model. The record is from RNAcentral.
UGUGUCAGUAGCCGCGGUAAUACGUAGGGUGCAAGCGUUAAUCGGAAUUACUGGGCGUAAAGCGUGCGCAGGCGGUUUUGCAAGACAGUGGUGAAAUCCCCGGGCUCAACCUGGGAACUGCCAUUGUGACUGCAAGGCUAGAGUGCGGCAGAGGGGGAUGGAAUUCCGCGUGUAGCAGUGAAAUGCGUAGAUAUGCGGAGGAACACCGAUGGCGAAGGCAAUCCCCUGGGCCUGCACUGACGCUCAUGCACGAAAGCGUGGGGAGCAAACAGGAUUAGAUACCCUGGUAGUCCACGCCCUAAACGAUGUCAACUGGUUGUUGGGGAUUUAUUUCUUCAGUAACGAAGCUAACGCGUGAAGUUGACCGCCUGGGGAGUACGGCCGCAAGGUUAAAACUCAAAGGAAUUGACGGGGACCCGCACAAGCGGUGGAUGAUGUGGUUUAAUUCGAUGCAACGCGAAAAACCUUACCCACCUUUGACAUGUACGGAAUCCUGCAGAGAUGCGGGAGUGCUCGCAAGAGAGCCGUAACACAGGUGCUGCAUGGCUGUCGUCAGCUCGUGUCGUGAGAUGUUGGGUUAAGUCCCGCAACGAGCGCAACCCUUGCCAUCAGUUGCUACGAAAGGGCACUCUGAUGGGACUGCCGGUGACAAACCGGAGGAAGGUGGGGAUGACGUCAAGUCCUCAUGGCCCUUAUAGGUGGGGCUACACACGUCAUACAAUGGCUGGUACAAAGGGCUGCCAACCCGCAAGGGGGAGCCAAUCCCAUAAAGCCAGUCGUAGUCCGGAUUGCAGGCUGCAACUCGCCUGCAUGAAGUCGGAAUCGCUAGUAAUCGUGGAUCAGCAUGUCACGGUGAAUACGUUCCCGGGUCUUGUACACACCGCCCGUCACACCAUGGGAGCGGGUCUCACCAGAAGUAGGUAGCCUAACCGCAAGGAGGGCGCUUACCACGGUGGGGUUCGUGACUGGGGUGAAGUCGUAACAAGGUAACCA